This 760-nucleotide long non-coding RNA is filed under the name Manihot esculenta (cassava). RNAcentral describes it as "long non-coding RNA (MESC_LNC005864)". The record is from RNAcentral. Lineage: Eukaryota; Viridiplantae; Streptophyta; Magnoliopsida; Malpighiales; Euphorbiaceae.
UCCUUGUGCAUAUAAACCUAUUUCUACUAGUUUCCCUCAUUUCAUUAUCUGGUGGACUUUUUUAACCUAUUUCUACUAGUUUCCCUCAUUUCAUUAUCUGGUGGACUUUUUUAGUUGAUAAUGCAAGUAGAGAUACUGACAGCCAUUGUGAUUAAUUAUGAUUACUCUUACUUUAUGACAUAUAUGGAAAGUGCGUAAUAAAUUAGUUUUUGAGAAUAUUUUUCCAGACUAUGUCUCUAUGGCACGUUCUAUUUCACUUGAUUUUUCUCAUCUGCGGCAGUUUGGUGUUUUUGCUGAUCCUUCUCAUCCCAGACAAAAAUUCAUUACCCAGUUUUAGUUGGGUUCCUCCUCCUUCAAGUCUUUUCAAACUUAAUUGUGAUAUUGCAAAUGGAAGGAUUCGUUUUCUCCUACUGUUGUGGCUGUUGUUAUUACUAAUUGUGAUGAUUUUAUUAUUCAUGAACUUGCCAAACAAGUGUGGUCUUACUCAGCUGCAGCUCGUGAAGCUAAAGCUCUAUUAGAAGGUCUGAAACCAGCACUCUUCCUCGGUUUAUGCUCCAUUGAGUGUGAAAUGGAUUUAGGCAUUUUAGCUCAUGCUGUUCAACAACCUACAUAACCUCUGCCAUAAGAUAUUUCUGCGUUAGUUGCAUCAAUUCUUACGCUUAGUUCACGUUUCUAAUAUUUCCCCUUUCUAUCUAUUUCUCAUCAGGCGAAUACGUGAGCCGAUAUGGUGACUAAAUUAACUUUAAAACAUGUACUACUG